GUCGUAAGUGUAGAUUAGUGGGAAGGGAGUUGAGCUAAAAACAAGAAACGAGUUGGCGAGCAACGAGAAGCGAGUGUGUAGUUGGGUGGAAUUAAAUAGCGC
Maniola jurtina (meadow brown) is the source of this 102-nucleotide long non-coding RNA. RefSeq lists it as uncharacterized. The transcript is spliced from 5 exons. The record is from RefSeq and is a predicted model, not a curated record. Lineage: Eukaryota; Metazoa; Arthropoda; Insecta; Lepidoptera; Nymphalidae.